AUUGAACGCUGGCGGAAUGCUUUACACAUGCAAGUCGAACGGCAGCACGGACUUCGGUCUGGUGGCGAGUGGCGAACGGGUGAGUAAUGUAUCGGAACGUGCCCAGUCGUGGGGGAUAACGUAGUGAAAAUUACGCUAAUACCGCAUACGAUCUAUGGAUGAAAGCGGGGGAUCGCAAGACCUCGCGCGAUUGGAGCGGCCGAUAGCAGAGUUAGGUAGUGGGUGGGGUAAAGGCCCACCAAGCCAACGAUCUGUAGCUGGUCUGAGAGGACGACCAGCCACACUGGAACGGAACCACGGUCCAGUCUCCUACGGGAGGCAGCAGUGGGGUAUUUUGGACAAGGGGCGAAAGCCUGAUCCAGACAUUCCGCGUGGAGGAUGAAGGCCCUCGAGUUGUAAACUGCUUUUGUACAGAACGAAAAGGUUUCUACUAAUACUAGGAGCUCAUGACGGUACUGUAAGAAUAAGCACCGGCUAACUACGUGCCAGCCGCCGCGGUAA
This 501-nucleotide ribosomal RNA is filed under the name uncultured bacterium. RNAcentral describes it as "partial 16S ribosomal RNA". It matches the Rfam family "Bacterial small subunit ribosomal RNA", at positions 30 to 523 of the family's 1533-position model. The record is from RNAcentral.